ACUCCUACGGGAGGCAGCAGUGGGGAAUAUUGCACAAUGGGGAAAGCCCAUCGAUGCAGCCAUGCCGCGCUGUGUGAAGAAGGCCAAUUCGGGGCUUUGGUUAAAGACACUUUCAGUAGGGAGGAAGGUAGUGUAGUUAACACCUGCACUAUUUGACGUUACCUACAGAAGAAGCACCGGCUAACUCCGUGCCAGCAGCCGCGGUAAUACGGAGGGUGCGAGCGUUAAUCGGAAUUACUGGGCGUAAAGCGCAUGCAGGCGGCCUGUUAAGUCAGAUGUGAAAGCCC
RNAcentral lists this ribosomal RNA (287 nucleotides) under uncultured bacterium. Its description in RNAcentral is "partial 16S ribosomal RNA". It matches the Rfam family "Bacterial small subunit ribosomal RNA", at positions 335 to 603 of the family's 1533-position model. The record is from RNAcentral.